This is a long non-coding RNA of Dermochelys coriacea (leatherback sea turtle), 97 nucleotides long. RefSeq lists it as uncharacterized. Lineage: Eukaryota; Metazoa; Chordata; Testudines; Dermochelyidae. The record is from RefSeq and is a predicted model, not a curated record. The transcript is spliced from 3 exons.
AGGGAAGGGAAACCCAGGGAACCACAGCCAAUGGGAGCUUUGGAGUGGUACCCAAGGUGAGGGCAGCAUGCGGCGGAGCCGCCUGCCCCACCCCACC